UCCGCAAGGUAAGGACGUGCGCCUCUCCGCCUUUCGGAUUUAUCCUCUAACAUCUGUGAUAAUACUUGAGAUUUUGUCUAGAAACUAUUCUAACCGUGGUCUCUUUUUGUUACAGUUGAUACUGCGACAAGAUGCGAGCAAAGUGGAGGAAGAAGCGUAUGCGCAGGCUGAAGCGUAAGCGCAGGAAGAUGCGUGCGAGGUCCAAGUAGACUGCUUUCCACUACCUUAUCCCCUUUUACUAUACAAAUUGACAGUGAACCAUGAGACCAUCUUGAACUGCCACUUUUUUUUUAUCAAUAAAAUGUGAAAGGGGAAAAUAUAA
Long non-coding RNA from Penaeus indicus, 322 nucleotides. RefSeq lists it as uncharacterized. The record is from RefSeq and is a predicted model, not a curated record. The transcript has 3 exons. Lineage: Eukaryota; Metazoa; Arthropoda; Malacostraca; Decapoda; Penaeidae.